Molecule: ribosomal RNA, 490 nt
Filed under: uncultured bacterium
Lineage: Bacteria
Description: partial 16S ribosomal RNA
Rfam family: Bacterial small subunit ribosomal RNA
Source: RNAcentral
GAUUGAACGCUGGCGGCAGGCCUAACACAUGCAAGUCGAACGGUAACAGGAAACAGCUUGCUGUUUCGCUGACGAGUGGCGGACGGGUGAGUAAUGUCUGGGAAACUGCCUGAUGGAGGGGGAUAACUACUGGAAACGGUAGCUAAUACCGCAUAACGUCGCAAGACCAAAGAGGGGGACCUUCGGGCCUCUUGCCAUCGGAUGUGCCCAGAUGGGAUUAGCUAGUAGGUGGGGUAACGGCUCACCUAGGCGACGAUCCCUAGCUGGUCUGAGAGGAUGACCAGCCACACUGGAACUGAGACACGGUCCAGACUCCUACGGGAGGCAGCAGUGGGGAAUAUUGCACAAUGGGCGCAAGCCUGAUGCAGCCAUGCCGCGUGUAUGAAGAAGGCCUUCGGGUUGUAAAGUACUUUCAGCGGGGAGGAAGGGAGUAAAGUUAAUACCUUUGCUCAUUGACGUUACCCGCAGAAGAAGCACCGGCUAACUCCGU